Molecule: long non-coding RNA, 956 nt
Organism: Rosa rugosa (rugosa rose)
Lineage: Eukaryota; Viridiplantae; Streptophyta; Magnoliopsida; Rosales; Rosaceae
Exons: 2
Source: RefSeq, a predicted model, not a curated record
UUGAACAAUAAACAAAAACAUAAGAAGACCAUUAUCUCUCCUCAUCCACAACGAUCAGGGCAGAAGGAAGAAAAGCCACAUAGUCAAUUUCAUCUUUAUCUUGUUGAUUAAUUUUCCUUGUGAUCUACCUUUCCACUCCGUUUCUUCGCUCAAUUUCAUUUACCCAUAUUCGUUUCCCCUUUUUUUUUUCACUCUCUCUCUCUUCACUCUCAUGAAUUCUGCAUAUAUGCUUUGUUUUGGGUUUUGAAAUUUAACCAUGGUGCCAUUAUGAGUUUCUUUUCUGGGAAUUUUGAGAUUGUUUUCUGGGUUUCAAUUUGAUGUUGAUGAGCUCUUGAGAUAUGGAGAUGGGUCUGACUAUCUGAGUCUACUUUGCUGAUUGAUUUUGAGAGUUUGGGAUUAUGGGUCAGAUGUUUUACCUCUUCAAAAUUGGGGGAUGUUGCUCUCUUGAAUUUUAGUGAAGAGGAAGAGGGAAGAGGCGGAGGUGCUGUAGAUGAGGCUGUCGAGAUCUUUGCAGAGGGAAGAGUGCGAGAGAGAAGGAUGUAAAAGUGAGAAAAGCAUGAGGACAAUUCGGAUAUUCAUCAAAAUUUCAUUUAAUCUUCCGCGUCCAGAGUUGAUUCUCGCAAAAGCUACAAAUUGUAGCUUCUUCAAUUCGGUGGUUGGGAGAAGCGCUUCGGGUCAGAAGUUGAUUCUCCAUGGUUUACCAAACACCACCAAACAAUAUCAGAAGCGCUUUUGAGAUCAAAAGCAGUUUCAAAAUCAAUCCCAAACUAAGCCUUAGUUUCUUGCUUUUGACUUGACAAAUCUUACUUCAAUAUUAGAGAGAUUCUUACGUAGGGCAAACAUACCACAUGACUGGUAGGGCUGCUCAAUUAGUGAACAUACAAUAGGAUGUUUUGGGUAUUUUAUUUUAAUAAAUAAUGAUAAAUUCGGAAUACACUUAAAAAAAUUUAAAUUUU